GUCCAGAUGAUGAGUACCAAAUGGGACGAAAUGUGCAUCCUGGAU
Molecule: non-coding RNA, 45 nt
Filed under: Trichobilharzia regenti
Lineage: Eukaryota; Metazoa; Platyhelminthes; Trematoda; Strigeidida; Schistosomatidae
Source: RNAcentral